UACGAAGGGGGCUAGCGUUGCUCGGAUUGACUGGGCGUAAAGGGCGCGUAGGCGGUUCGUACAGUCAGACGUGAAAUUCCUGGGCUCAACCUGGGGGCUGCGUUUGAUACGUGCGGACUUGAGUGCGGAAGAGGGUCGUGGAAUUCCCAGUGUAGAGGUGAAAUUCGUAGAUAUUCGGAAGAACACCAGUGGCGAAGGCGACUUACUGGACACAUAUUGACGCUGAGGUGCGAAAGCGUGGGGAGCGAACAGG
RNAcentral lists this ribosomal RNA (253 nucleotides) under uncultured bacterium. RNAcentral's name for it is "partial 16S ribosomal RNA". It matches the Rfam family "Bacterial small subunit ribosomal RNA", at positions 524 to 776 of the family's 1533-position model. The record is from RNAcentral.